GACGAACGCUGGCGGCGCGCUUAACACAUGCAAGUCGAGCGAGAACCGGGGCUUCGGCCCCGGGGACAGCGGCGAACGGGUGAGUAACACGUGGAUAACCUGCCCUCGGCACCGGGAUAGCCCGGGGAAACCCGGAUUAAUACCGGAUGGGCCCUUCCGACUUUCGAGUCGGUCGGCAAAGGUAGCUUAGGCCUCCGGCCGAGGAUGGGUCCGCGGCGGAUUAGCUUGUUGGUGGGGUAAGUGGCCUACCAAGGCUUCGAUCCGUAGCUGGUCUGAGAGGACGAUCAGCCACACUGGGACUGAGACACGGCCCAGACUCCUACGGGAGGGCAGCAGUGGGGAAUCUUGCGCAAUGGGCGAAAGCCUGACGCAGCGACGCCGCGUGAGGGACGACGGCC
Molecule: ribosomal RNA, 398 nt
Filed under: uncultured bacterium
Lineage: Bacteria
Description: bacterial SSU rRNA
Rfam family: Bacterial small subunit ribosomal RNA
Source: RNAcentral